GGCCUAACACAUGCAAGUCGAACGGACGUAGCAAUACGUUAGUGGCGCACGGGUGAGUAACACGUGGGAACCUAUCCUUCGGUUCGGAAAAACGGAGGGAAACUUCCGCUAAUACCGUAUACGCCCCUUGGGGGAAAGAUUUAUCGCCGAUUGAGGGGCCCGCGUCUGAUUAGCUAGUUGGUAAGGUAACGGCUUACCAAGGCUACGAUCUGUAGCUGGUCUGAGAGGAUGAUCAGCCACACUGGAACUGAGACACGGUCCAGACUCCUACGGGAGGCAGCAGUGAGGAAUAUUGGGCAAUGCCCGUAAGGGUGACCCAGCAACGCCGCGUGGAGGAUGAAAGCCGUAAGGUUGUAAACUCC
This 362-nucleotide ribosomal RNA is filed under the name uncultured organism. RNAcentral describes it as "bacterial SSU rRNA". It matches the Rfam family "Bacterial small subunit ribosomal RNA", at positions 45 to 433 of the family's 1533-position model. The record is from RNAcentral.